UCGGGAAUUUUGGGCAAUGGGCGAAAGCCUGACCCAGCAACGCCGCGUGAAGGAUGAAGUAUUUCGGUAUGUAAACUUCGAAAGAAUAGGAAGAAUAAAUGACGGUACUAUUUAUAAGGUCCGGCUAACUACGUGCCAGCAGCCGCGGUAAUACGUAGGGACCAAGCGUUGUUCGGAUUUACUGGGCGUAAAGGGCGCGUAGGCGGCAAUUCAAGUCAUCUGUGAAAUCUCCGGGCUUAACUCGGAACGGUCAGAUGAUACUGCUUUGCUAGAGUGCAGAAGGGGCAAUCGGAAUUCUUGGUGUAGCGGUGAAAUGCGUAGAUAUCAAGAGGAACACCUGAGGUGAAGACGGGUUGCUGGGCUGAUACUGACGCUGAGGCGCGAAAGCUAGGGUAGCAAACGGGAUUAGAUACCCCUGUAGUCCCUGAGCGGGCUGGCAAGGCGCAU
This 447-nucleotide ribosomal RNA is filed under the name uncultured bacterium. RNAcentral's name for it is "bacterial SSU rRNA". It matches the Rfam family "Bacterial small subunit ribosomal RNA", at positions 355 to 825 of the family's 1533-position model. The record is from RNAcentral.